This is a ribosomal RNA of Neotoma lepida (desert woodrat), 397 nucleotides long. It matches the Rfam family "Eukaryotic large subunit ribosomal RNA", at positions 2424 to 2811 of the family's 3401-position model. The record is from Rfam. Lineage: Eukaryota; Metazoa; Chordata; Mammalia; Rodentia; Cricetidae.
GACUCUGCAUCUUGGGAGAAGGGACAAGCAGGGACAAAAAAGAUCUAUCAGGGAGGGAAUCUCUCUGAAGAGGCUCUUGUUUUAAGUACUCCCAUUGUUUUUUCACUGACCUGGUGAGGCUGGGGGGUGUGUGCUAAGGGGCUCUCACUCUGGCGCCAAGCACAGGUCCAUGUGUGUGCAGGAGGGCACGAUCUGCUCCAGGGACAGUGCCAGGUGGAGAGUUUGAUGAGGUAUACUUGUCAAACGGUAAUGGUACACCUGUACUAAGAAGAAUUCAGGGAGGACAGAAACCUCCCAUGGCAAAAGAGCAAAAGCUUGAUCUUGAUUUCAAUAUAAAUACAGACCAUGAAAAAGGAGCCCUUUUAGGCCAGGGUGAGUCCAGACAAGGCUUUCAAAA